This 495-nucleotide ribosomal RNA is filed under the name uncultured bacterium. RNAcentral describes it as "bacterial SSU rRNA". It matches the Rfam family "Bacterial small subunit ribosomal RNA", at positions 37 to 524 of the family's 1533-position model. The record is from RNAcentral.
UGGCGGCAGCUUACCAUGCAAGUCGAACGGUAGCACAGAGGAGCUUGCUCCUUGGGUGACGAGUGGCGGACGGGUGAGUAAUGCUUGGGAAUCUGGCUUAUGGAGGGGGAUAACUACUGGAAACGGUAGCUAAUACCGCGUAAUAUCGGAAGAUUAAAGGGUGGGACCUUCGGGCCACUUGCCAUAAGAUGAGCCCAAGUGGGAUUGGGUGGUUGGUGGGGUAAAGGCCUACCAAGCCGACGAUCUCUAGCUGGUCUGAGAGGAUGGCCAGCCACACUGGAACUGAGACACGGUCCAGACUCCUACGGGAGGCAGCAGUGGGGAAUAUUGCACAAUGGGGGGAACCCUGAUGCAGCCAUGCCGCGUGAAUGAAGAAGGCCUUCGGGUUGUAAAGUUCUUUCGGUGAUGAGGAAGGCAGGUAUUUUAAUAGAAUACUUGAUUGACGUUAGUCACAGAAGAAGCACCGGCUAACUCCGUGCCAGCAGCCGCGGUAAU